GGUAUGCAUUAUUAGAUCUACAAGCAAAAUAGCCUUUUCAAUGGCCCACGUAGACCCGUCAUAUGCAUCGUACACGUAUACAAACAACUCUAUAUACAUACACAUAUUUCAUAGUAUGAAGUCAUGUAUUAUGUCCAUUGCUGCUGCUAUGCCAAUUGGGAAGUCCCAGAAUUAUUUGCCGUUCAUGUCUUCUCCAAUAGGUGGCCGUAUCUAGACAAAGAAAUGACAUCUCUGGUGUAGUGGGUGAGAUGGAGCAUAUUUAGAGAUAAUUAUAUACAAGUUAAUUUUGUAUUUUGUUAGAAUUAUAUAUGUGGUUCUAUAAGAGUUCAUCAUUAUUGUAUUCUUUGCUACAUAAUUCUUGUUGUCUUUCUCUAGAGC
RNAcentral lists this unclassified non-coding RNA (378 nucleotides) under Hevea brasiliensis (rubber tree). The record is from RNAcentral. Lineage: Eukaryota; Viridiplantae; Streptophyta; Magnoliopsida; Malpighiales; Euphorbiaceae.